This 418-nucleotide ribosomal RNA is filed under the name Arion subfuscus. RNAcentral's name for it is "partial 16S ribosomal RNA". The stretch from base 1 to 170 matches the Rfam family "Archaeal large subunit ribosomal RNA", at positions 1942 to 2143 of the family's 2987-position model. The record is from RNAcentral. Lineage: Eukaryota; Metazoa; Mollusca; Gastropoda; Stylommatophora; Arionidae.
AGGUUAAGUCUGCCCAGUGAAAACUAAUUUUUUAACGGCCGCAGUACUUUGACUGUGCUAAGGUAGCAAAAUAAAUACGCUUUUAAUUAAGGUCGAGAAUGAAUGGCACCAUGGGUGUAAACUGUCUCCUUUUAUGAUUGUUAAUUUGUUUAAUAGGUGAAAAGACCUAUAUUAAAAAUAAUAGACGAGAAGACCCUUAGAGUUUUUAACCAUAUUAGCUAUUAGAUUAGUUUAUUAAUUUUUUGUUGGGGCGACAUAGUAUCAAAUAGCAUACUUAAUAUUAUUGAAUGUAACAAGUCUUUAUUACAAUUGAAUAUAACUACCUAAGGGAUAACAGCAUAAUUUUUAACAUAAAGAUUGUGACCUCGAUGUUGGACUAGGGACUAAAUGUAUUAGUCAUAUAUUUAGAAUAUUCUGU